AUUUAAAUGGAGCUAAAUGAAAUGAAAAUCCAAUUCUCAUUUAAAGAGACAAAACCAUUUUGUUCUCAUCCUAAUUUGGGCCAAAAUGCAAUAACCUCAACUUUUUGGGCUAUGUUGCAAAACUUAAACUUUUGAGCUCAUUUUGUAAAAACACAAAAGUCCACUACACAUGUAAUCACAACUAGAACCCAAAAAUUUCCACAAAUUGAAAAACAUCAUUAAAGGAACAAAACAAUUUGUCCUUUAAUGAUUUUGGGCCUUUACGUAAAUACGUAAACUUUUGGGCCAAAGUUGCAAAUACACAUAAGUACCAAAACUUUAUGUAAUUGCAUAAAAGCCCCAAAAGCACCCCACUUGUAGGGUGGCCGGUUUUAGAUAGAGUGAGGAAUGCAAAAUUUUGAAAUUUUUCAACAAAGUCAUAAAGCCAUGCAAGUGGUGUGUGUGACAUAA
This 450-nucleotide long non-coding RNA is filed under the name Malus domestica (apple). RNAcentral's name for it is "long non-coding RNA (MDOM_LNC015796)". The record is from RNAcentral. Lineage: Eukaryota; Viridiplantae; Streptophyta; Magnoliopsida; Rosales; Rosaceae.